AACGCGAAGAACCUUACCUGGCCUUGACAUCCAGAGAACUUAGCAGAGAUGCUUUGGUGCCUUCGGGAACUCUGAGACAGGUGCUGCAUGGCUGUCGUCAGCUCGUGUUGUGAAAUGUUGGGUUAAGUCCCGCAACGAGCGCAACCCUUAUCCUUUGUUGCCAGCGGCUCGGCCGGGAACUCAAAGGAGACUGCCGGUGAUAAACCGGAGGAAGGUGGGGAUGACGUCAAGUCAUCAUGGCCCUUACGGCCAGGGCUACACACGUGCUACAAUGGCGCAUACAAAGAGAAGCGACCUCGCGAGAGCAAGCGGACCUCAUAAAGUGCGUCGUAGUCCGGAUUGGAGUCUGCAACUCGACUCCAUGAAGCCGGAAUCGCUAGUAAUCGUAGAUCAGAAUGCUACGGUGAAUACGUUCCC
Molecule: ribosomal RNA, 417 nt
Filed under: uncultured bacterium
Lineage: Bacteria
Description: bacterial SSU rRNA
Rfam family: Bacterial small subunit ribosomal RNA
Source: RNAcentral